Molecule: ribosomal RNA, 253 nt
Filed under: uncultured bacterium
Lineage: Bacteria
Description: partial 16S ribosomal RNA
Rfam family: Bacterial small subunit ribosomal RNA
Source: RNAcentral
UACGGAGGGAGCUAGCGUUGUUCGGAUAUACUGGGCGUAAAGCGCACGUAGGCGGCGCAGCAAGUCAGGGGUGAAAUCCCGGAGCUCAACUCCGGAACUGCCUUUGAAACUGCAGUGCUAGAAUUCUGGAGAGGCGAGUGGAAUUCCGAGUGUAGAGGUGAAAUUCGUAGAUAUUCGGAAGAACACCAGUGGCGAAGGCGACUCGCUGGACAGACAUUGACGCUGAGGUGCGAAAGCGUGGGGAGCGAACAGG